Molecule: ribosomal RNA, 229 nt
Filed under: uncultured bacterium
Lineage: Bacteria
Description: partial 16S ribosomal RNA
Rfam family: Bacterial small subunit ribosomal RNA
Source: RNAcentral
CGGGUGAGUAAUGUAUGGGGAUCUGCCUGAUGGCGGGGGGUAACUACUGGAAACGGUAGCUAAUACCGCAUAAUGUCUGCGGACCAAAGCGGGGGGACCUCCGGGCCUCGCGCCAUCAGAUGAACCCAUAUGGGAUUAGCUAGUAGGUGGGGUAACGGCUCACCUAGGCGACGAUCCCUAGCUGGUCUGAGAGGAUGACCAGCCACACUGGAACUGAGACACGGUCCAG